AUGGUCAUAUCAGAUUGAAAUACUGGUUCUCAUAUGAUCCCUGAAGUAAGCAAUGCUGAGUCUGCUCAGAACUUAGAUGGGUGACCACUUGGGAAUACCAGAUGCUGUAA
Molecule: non-coding RNA, 110 nt
Organism: Acanthosepion pharaonis
Lineage: Eukaryota; Metazoa; Mollusca; Cephalopoda; Sepiida; Sepiidae
Source: the annotation of a GenBank genome assembly